GACGAACGCUGGCGGCGUGCCUAAUACAUGCAAGUAGAACGCAGUUGCGAACGGGUGAGUAACGCGUAGGUAACUGCCUCAUAGCGGGGGAUAACUAUUGGAAACGAUAGCUAAUACCGCAUAAUGUGAGUUGGACCUGCGUUGUAUUAGCUAGUUGGUGAGGUCAAGGCUCACCAAGGCGAGGAUACAUAUCCGACCUGAGAGGUUGAUAGGGCGGAUUGUGUCUGAUACAAGGCCCAGACGCCUCCAGAAGGCUGUAGUUGUGAUUCUCCGUAGAUGGAAGGAAGUGUGACCGAGCAACGCCGCGGGGGUGAAGAAGGUUUACGGAUCGUAAAGCCUUGUUGUUAGAGACGCGGUAACUAACCAGAAAGGGAAGGAUACCUACGUGCCAGCAGUCGGGGUAAUAC
RNAcentral lists this ribosomal RNA (407 nucleotides) under uncultured bacterium. RNAcentral's name for it is "partial 16S ribosomal RNA". It matches the Rfam family "Bacterial small subunit ribosomal RNA", at positions 28 to 526 of the family's 1533-position model. The record is from RNAcentral.